Molecule: ribosomal RNA, 266 nt
Filed under: uncultured bacterium
Lineage: Bacteria
Description: partial 16S ribosomal RNA
Rfam family: Bacterial small subunit ribosomal RNA
Source: RNAcentral
CCGGCGACCGGCGCACGGGUGAGUAACACGUAUGGAACCUGCCCGCAGCAGGGGGAUAAGCGGAAGAAAUUCCGUCUAAUACCGCGUAACAACGUUGGGAGGCAUCUCCCGAUGUUUAAAGAUUUAUCGGCUGCGGAUGGCCAUGCGGCGCAUUAGCUAGUCGGCGGGGUAACGGCCCACCGAGGCGACGAUGCGUAGGGGUUCUGAGAGGAAGGUCUCCCACACUGGUACUGAGACACGGACCAGACUCCUACGGAAGGCAGCAG